Molecule: unclassified non-coding RNA, 419 nt
Filed under: Hevea brasiliensis (rubber tree)
Lineage: Eukaryota; Viridiplantae; Streptophyta; Magnoliopsida; Malpighiales; Euphorbiaceae
Source: RNAcentral
CUCUCUAAAAGGGAUGAUGAUUUUUUUUUUUUUUUACUAACAAGAUUCUUUUCUUUUAUAUAAAACUUUUAAUUAAGUAGAUAUUAAAUUUUUUUUAAUAGAAGUUUAAAAUUUUAAUUAUUAAAUUUCCCUUUGAAAUGGAUGCUUUAUUUUAUCGAGUUAUAUGAGGUGGAGUGAUUAGUGAACAAAAGAUUAUUCUUUACAUUCUAGUUUUUAAAUAAUUCUCAUCAUCAAUUUUCUUUAAACAAUGAAAAUGAUAACACAUCCUUUGUAUAAUGAAAAUGACAAUUUAAAAUUACAUGAUUUUUUAACACAUCCAAUGCUCAUGUGCUACUUAUGCUGCUGCUGCUGCCAAGACAAGAACAUGUUAACCAGAAAUAAGGGUUGGCAUCUACCUUGUUGAGCCUGGACUUUAGAUG